This is a long non-coding RNA of Melospiza melodia melodia, 2282 nucleotides long. RefSeq lists it as uncharacterized. The transcript is spliced from 10 exons. The record is from RefSeq and is a predicted model, not a curated record. Lineage: Eukaryota; Metazoa; Chordata; Aves; Passeriformes; Passerellidae.
GUGCUGAUGGCUCCUGAGCACAGCUCUCCUUCAGCCGGGGCGGGGCUCUGCACGGAGCUGGAGUGCUGCUGGAAUACAAGUGCCAGGUGCAACAGAUGUAAUUCAAAGGGGAAAAACCCAGGAAUAUUUCCACUGACAGAAUGUUGUCUUUGCACACCUUGGCCUGUGGGUUGGAGCUGGCAGAACUGCAUUUCAUCCUGCAGCUGGUGUUCUAACAGCUGGAAGCCAUCUCUGCAUUUCCAGGUCAGAAUAAAUGGAGCAACAGCAGCUGGCUGUGGGAGACUGCUGGGACUGCCCCUGGUUCUGUGUGCACCUGGAGCAGCAGUGCCCCCAGGAAUCAGCAGCAGGGACAAGCCCACGAGAGCAGAGCCCCUGGAGUGGCAUCAGCUGCAAGCAGUGUGAGCUGAGAGCUCCAGAUUGUUGAUUUGCUGCUGGACAGACAAGGAGAGGGGCAAUGUGCAUUUCCUGGGAACACUGUGAAAUAAAACUCAGGAAUCACUGCUCCAGCAGGCUGGAUGUGGAUGUUGGACUCUCAGAGCCAGUGGCACUGCCCAGGCCCAUUUUGGACUUUUUGAGAUCAAGCAGAAGCUGCAAUCAUCCUGCCCAGAUUUCAGUGCAGGUUCAUUGUGGGCAUUAAACAAUUUCUACAAGUAUCACAAGUGGAAAAGUGAUAUCAGAGUAGACGGAUUAUUUAUCUCAUUGGAUGUGAUGUGACAGAAGAGUCUGGAUUGGUGAGGACUAAAAUACAGCAACCUGGGGAAAAGGACCAUGAGGUUGAGGAGGGGAUCCAUGGGUUACUGGAAUAAUAAAUCAGGUCACUCCAGAUGCCCACUAGAGCUGAUGAUCUGCUUCUGUGUAACCACUGCAGCCAGCAAGAGGAAACAGAGUUCACUCAGCAUGCCCAGUUCUGGAACACUCAGAAGAGGAAAUACUCUGGAGGAUUCCUACAGAAACCAAAGCCAAAGAGCAGCCCUGAUUGGGAACCCCCUCUGCUCAACUAUUUUGUUACAAGUGGCCCAAAGAAGAAUGAUUUUUAUUUUUCAAUUCUUGUUGCAGCAGCAGCUCUGGGCUAAGCAAUUGUUAUGGUGUGCUCAGGGCACCAAACCAAAAAAUCUGAGACAGAGGGCCCAGAUGCAGAAUUCCCUGCGAUAACCUAAAGCAAAUGCCACUGGAUGCAGCUCCCUCAAGAUCUCCCUGCUCACAGCCUCGCUGGUGGCCAGCAUCCAGACUGAGCAUUAGCAAAACCAACAAACCAAACAGUUCCCACAGCAGGGACGACUUCUAUAUGGUUCUGUACCUGGAUGGCCUUGCAGCGCCACCUUCUCUAGGAUUGUCAGUGGAAUCCAGCACAUUGGUACAGCUCUUCCAUUCCACCUCUUGGAUAACACUGCUGAAAUCCACCAGAAGGAGCCUUUGUGCAUCAAUUUUGCUUGAGCCUUGAGGAAUGUAUUAACAGGAAACUCCUGCUCCUGCCUCCAGGGAAGAAGAGGAGCUGGGAUUUCUCCUUUGAGAGAUGUGGGGCUCAUGUUUGAAGAAGAAAAAGCCAGUGCUGUUUCCCCCCCCCCGACAAGCACAAGCAUGGAGAACAGAGAUGCUGCUGGUGUCUCUGGAGAGCUCUGCCAGCCCUGCCUGCCCUGCAGAGGAGCCAGAGUCUGGUUGGAUGGUUUGAAUCUCUGCCAUCAUUUGGAGCAGAAUGAAGCUCUGUAAAGGACAGUGCCUGGAUGCCAGCGGGGCUGUCAUUAGCUCGGGCAGCCCAGGAAGCAGCUGAUGUGCAGUUUGUGGUGGAAGUCAUGCAGACACAAGGGGUGACAGGGGGUGGAGAGGCCCCAGCCCCUGGCUGCAGCCUGGCCCCAACGGUGUGUUCCAGGCUGUUUGGAUGGACCAGGCACAGCUUCACAAGACACAAAGGCUCCAUGGACCAUCCAUUUGAUGUCAGUUUUUCAGUGAUGUUGGGUGCCUCUGGCCCAGCUCCAUCUUUCUUCCACAGUAAUCAAAGGAAAUGCACCCUAGUCUUGGAGUCUGGUGGUUCAGGACUGAAAGCUUAAUGGCUUUCCUUGGCUUUUUUUCCCCCACUCUCUCUUUUAUGAAGCAUAGGGUGUUUAGAACUAUGGAAGCAGUGCAAGAAAAAUAUUAAUGAAUAACUAUGGAGUGCAGACAUUAAUGCAUUCCUUUCUCUUGAAAUAACUGGCUUUUCUCGGUGGGGUCUGUAACAAAAAAAGUGUCUGCAGAGUCUGAACCUGCUGUAUAGAAGCCAAAGUAGAUGAUGAUGAUUUAGAACUUCA